Molecule: ribosomal RNA, 492 nt
Filed under: uncultured bacterium
Lineage: Bacteria
Description: partial 16S ribosomal RNA
Rfam family: Bacterial small subunit ribosomal RNA
Source: RNAcentral
AGUGAACGCUGGCGGUAUGCCUAACACAUGCAAGUCGAACGGCAGCACAGUAAGAGCUUGCUCUUACUGGUGGCGAGUGGCGGACGGGUGAGGAAUACAUCGGAAUCUACUUUUUCGUGGGGGAUAACGUGGGGAAACUUACGCUAAUACCGCAUACGACCUACGGGUGAAAGCAGAGGAUCUUCAGACCUUUCGCGAUUGAAUGAGCCGAUGCCGGAUUAGCUAGUUGGCGUGGUAAAGGCCCACCAAGGCAACGAUGCGUAGCUGAGCUGAGAGGAUGAUCAGCCACACUGGAACUGAGACACGGUCCAGACUCCUACGGGAGGCAGCAGUGGGGAAUAUUGGGCAAUGGGCGAAAGCCUGAUCCAGCCAUACCGCGUGGGUGAAGAAGGCCUUCGGGUUGUAAAGCCCUGUUGUUGGGAAAGAAAAGCAGCAGGUUAAUACGCCGCUGUCCUGACGGUACCCAAAGAAUAAGCACCGGCUAACUUCGUG